GGUCGGUUAGCUCAGUUGGUUAAAGCGUGGUACUAAUAAUGCCAAGGCCGGGAGUUCAAGCCUCCCACUGAUCA
Molecule: transfer RNA, 74 nt
Filed under: Colletotrichum spaethianum
Lineage: Eukaryota; Fungi; Ascomycota; Sordariomycetes; Glomerellales; Glomerellaceae
Description: tRNA-Ile
Rfam family: tRNA
About the family: Transfer RNA (tRNA) molecules are approximately 80 nucleotides in length.
Source: RNAcentral